GGCUGGGCCUGCGGGCCGCGGGACAGGGAGGGCGCGGGGCCGGGCUGCUGGGUCCGAGCUCUGGGCACGAUGUCCUCCCUGACGCCGCCAGGACAGCGCCUGGCCCAGGCCUGGGCCUGGUGAACGCGGGUUUCUUCCUCUGAGGUUCAACACUCCGCACUUGGGUUGGCUCCUUUCAUCCUGAUUGGUUUAUUCGCCACGUGCCAAGCACUGAAGAGGGCGUGCAGGAUGGAUACUUUUGGAGCAAAAAUAGCCCUGCUUCUUUCCUGGGGAGGGAUCGCACUUUCUAGAGGGGCGGUUUUCAAAGUAUGGUCUCAGGACUAGCAGCAUCGAAAAUGCUGGGAACUCGUUAGAAAAGCAAGUUUUCAAUCCUCGCCCCAGAAUCAGAAACUCGGGGUGGAGCCCAGCAAUGUGUGUCCUGACAAGUCCACGCGCGACCCCAGUGCUGGCUAGGGUUGCAAAGCCACUGCUCUACGGAGCGAGCGAGAUCCAUCAUAGUGGGACAAGCGAGAGGAUGAGGCCAUACAGACCAGGGCAAGUUUUGAGCGCGCAGAUCCACCAGCUGCUUGAAGCCAGGGGCACCAGGAUGUCUGGUCCCCCAGCUCAGGGAUCCUGUCUCCCCACAAAAAGCAGCAGCAGAAGACCCCUCUUUGAGUUCUGAACAUGUUCCUAGAUUUUCCCAGUAUCUAUGGGGAUUGAGAGAUUGAUAAAGGCUGCUUGGAGCUGAAAGCACAGAGAGAGGCUCCUUACACUGACAUUCAAAGUCCUCAAUGACCCGGCCCCAGCCUACCUCUGCAGCCUUAUCUCCCUACAAACCAUCAAAGCAGAACAAAAACCUGUCCCUCCGAUUUAGGUUUUAGCAAACCACAAGAAGCACUUCAUAAACUGGUGACUCAAGUAGAAAAGUACUGUUCCACGCACUUGACACCAAUCCACCCAUUUCACCUGCAUGAUCACCCUGCCUUUGCAUGAGUUGCCGGUGUGGACAGAGCAGGGACACAGUGAGACAGCGGAUUCCAGCUUUGCUCUUACCUAGAACACACUGCCUCUCACCAGGAAUCGUCCUUCCAUUUUAUGCAGUUAUCCCAGACAAUGAUGCACAAGCUUUGGGAAAAAAACCCCACAAGUCCAAAGGUGUACUUCAUAAUAAAGCACCUGGUCUCACCGUUGUUCUACAGCACAGCAGGCCAGGCUGGAUUGGAGAGUCACCUUCAAGAGCCAUGAUCACUUCACGAGGACCUCUGCUGGUGUCUCCUCUGCUGUCCUGGAGGUCCCAGAGGACAGGAGCUGUGUCCUGUGACCUGCUGACCGCAACGCGUAGCACCUGGAAGGUGUUCAUAGGAUAGUUCCUCAAAUGAGUCAAUGGACAGUGAAUGGGGAAUGGAGUGGACGGUGGACGGGAGGGCAAGUUGUUUCCAUGAAAGGAGGAAAUUCCUGUGGAGGGAGUGGACAAGGCAUGCCUGUUUGAGCCACGCGCAGAUGAGAACACCUAUGCUGCAUGAGUCAGAAGCAAGUAUCAGAAGAUGAUGGAUCUCAUUACUUAGAGAAAAGAAGGCCUCAAACCCAUUGCACAUGGGUAGGGAGGAUGAAAAGAAACACCCACAGAGUUAAGCCACAACACUGGGAAAACUG
Molecule: long non-coding RNA, 1632 nt
Filed under: Homo sapiens (human)
Lineage: Eukaryota; Metazoa; Chordata; Mammalia; Primates; Hominidae
Description: non-protein coding CCDC37-DT:16
Source: RNAcentral